AGCGCAGGCGGUUGCUUAGGUCUGAUGUGAAAGCCUUCGGCUUAACCGAAGAAGUGCAUCGGAAACCGGGCAACUUGAGUGCAGAAGAGGACAGUGGAACUCCAUGUGUAGCGGCGGAAUGCGUAGAUAUAUGGAAGAACACCAGUGGCGAAGGCGGCUGUCUGGUCUGCAACUGACGCUGAGGCUCGAAAGUGUGGGGAGCAAACA
Molecule: ribosomal RNA, 207 nt
Filed under: uncultured bacterium
Lineage: Bacteria
Description: partial 16S ribosomal RNA
Rfam family: Bacterial small subunit ribosomal RNA
Source: RNAcentral